Diceros bicornis minor is the source of this 4561-nucleotide long non-coding RNA. RefSeq lists it as uncharacterized. Lineage: Eukaryota; Metazoa; Chordata; Mammalia; Perissodactyla; Rhinocerotidae. The record is from RefSeq and is a predicted model, not a curated record. The transcript is spliced from 6 exons.
GUGGGGCGCCUCCGCCCGCCAGCCGCUCCCGCAUUAAAAUUUCAUGGGCGCUGCAGCAGCUACAAAGACGACGCCGGCUGCGCUCGAGGGACCAGAGGGAGGGAGGCUGCGGACGAGUGCGGGGAGGAGUUUGCGAUGGGAGGCGCUUGCAGGGGCUCCCCCAGUUCUGCGCUGUGAGCCCGGGCACAAAGAGCCCUCUGCACUCGCGCCGCAGGACCGCCGACCCGAGCUGGAAGCAUCUUCCUGCCCACCCAUGUAGCUCCAGACACGUUCACAUGGCCGCCAUGAUCCUGACAGCAUCAAAAGGGUGACCAAGGUGACUCUUCCUCUCCUUCUGUGCACCCCGGGGACGGCAGACACUGCCUUCCUGCUGUGUGGUCAGGUCCACCACGAAACCCAUAUGUGCGGAGACCUCCUGAAUCUCAGAGGUUUUGCCUUUUCUGGACAUUUCAUAAACGUGGAAUCAUACAGCGCCUGGUCUCUUGUGCCUGGCUUCUUUCACUCCGUAUGAUAUUUCUGAGAGUGCAACAAGUUCCUGGGACGGAGGAGAGAGAAGGGAAUUUCUGGGUUCUUCAGGAUGUUCGCGACCACACCGGAAGCAGCCCUGCAGAUAAGUAUUCCAACUUACCGCAGCCUGAGGGCCAGCCUGCCCUCUCCUGGUCUGUGCAGGAAAGUGCAGUAUCCCGGAAUCUCCACGGGAGGGGAGACAUUGGUGAUACAGCUCAUUUGCGUUUCAACCUCUGUGCCACAGAGAAAGAGUUUGUCCUCAUUUUCUGGGGCCCCAGAAAGGGUAAUUUUCCUACCCCACUUUUGGCAUCAGGCUAGUAUUUUAUAAACUCCGCCACCAGGAACUUCUGAGAGCUGAGCUGAAUGACUUCACCUUGAGCAGCCCUGGAGCUGGUGUCAGGAGGCGGCUGGGCACGCCUGGUGAUCUGGGCCGGCCCUUCUCUUCUCACUCUGGCCCUUUGUGAUCCUAUUUAUAAAACUUGGCCAGGGCUCCUUUGCCGGGCAGUCAAGCGGGGACCUCAGCGCUGUGCAGGUAGGGCACAUUCUUCUCAGUGCAAGGGCCUGAGUGCGUCUCCGGCUCUGGUCCUGUGCCCCAAGUCCCGGGUGCUGACAGCAAGCUCUGAAAAUACACGAAGAGGGCCCUGGACUCUCCUGGUGUGAGUCUGCCAGUCAACAAAGAUAGCUUAGCUGUCACCAAAGGCAAUGCCUGGGGGAUGGUCCUGGGUCAGGCUUAGUGGGUAUCUGAGGGGGGGACAGAAAAAUAAGAGGCUGAGCAGAAGGGCCCCUCCUGUCUCCCCUCCACCGCCUCCAAGAAUGGGUUACUAUUGUGCACCUUGGGUGAAAGUCAGGUCCCACGGUCCAGAAAGACGGACAGACUUCCCAGGGCUCCACAGUAUGGCAGAGCUGGGACCAGAACUCCCAAUUCCUGACUCUGUUCAGCUGUCGUCCAGCUGAGUCUGUCUCACUUUCUCCUGGGUCCCAUUCUGCUGUUGUUGGGAACAGGGAGGUGUGUGAAGGGAGCCCCCUCCCCGCCCCUAGGACAGUCUGGGGUGGGAGGAAGGGAGGUGGCGGGUGUGUGUCCCGGCCCAGCCUCCCUGGCUCCUGGGCCUUCUGAGAAUUCUGGCCAGACCCGGGCUGGGGAGGGGGCCUGGGUGCGGUUUUCUCCUGCGGCGUGGCUGGCUCUUGUCUUCUAGGAUGGGCCUGUGGGGUCUGCGUGGGGAAGGAGCUGGGAGCUGGGCCUGGGCUGCCAGUGUGUUGGCUGGGCGCUGCCAGACGUGGACCCAGUGCCUUCUCCCAGCUAGAUGCUGAGGAUCCGGAGGUGAACACCACAGAUGUGGCUCUGCCCUCUCAGAUCUUCACGUGAGAAGGUGCUUUAGCACAGUCUCUGCGAGGGAAUGAGCUCCCCGUCCUGGGAGGCGGCUCUGCCCAGCUGCAUCUCCAGGACUCCUGCGUGGUCUCCUCUUUGGAGCCCGGGUGACUCUGGACUCUGGUCACAAUGACACACAGAGCAGCCUUCAGUAGUUUCCUGGAACCUUGGACAAUUGCCUGAAGACCUUAUCCUUCCCAACUCCCGAGAUGGAGCCUCCUGUGGAUACAGGCCCCUCCUGGUCGGAGCUCAGGGCCUGGCUCUGGAGGACAGCUGGAGGGGCGUGCGGGAGGCCGGCAACCCAUCGUCCCCUCCUCACCUGCCUGGACCUGCCUGCUGGGCCUUCCUGUCAGGGCCUGGAGACCGUCCUGGCCCCAUGGGGAUUCGUUCCUCCUUGCAUCCCUGCCAGCAACCAGACAGAGCUUGGCCCGGCCAAGGCCCCACUGACCACACCCUCCCCACGCUGGGUCUCCAAGGACCCUCCGGGACAGGGGUGGGAGCGCGGGAUGGGAGUCGGGGAGGAGCUGCAGUGGGAGGGGGGCCGUCGCAGCUCUGGGGGCGCAGCUGGCUGGAGUCUCUCUUGCGCCGUUUGCUGUGUGAGUGAUUCUCAUUUUGGGGGUGUGUUUUGGAUGGGGCUUGUCUGUGCUUCUCCUCUUCUUGAGGGUCGCAGGGAGGAGGCAGCCAGGGUCAGGGGCAGCCCGGGCCUCCCUCUAGUGUCGCUGAGUUCUGGGAGGGGCAGAUGGAGGGGAGAGGGUGUGCUGUCCUGAGAGGGGAGGGCUUCCCAGAGAUGAGGAGGCUCAGGCCAGGGGCGCUCGCAGGAAGGAGACAGACACUGGGCCUUGUUCCCGCCGUCCAAAGGGAAUGGGCUGGAACCAGCCUUGCCGCAUGGCUUGAGGGGUCCCCCCAAGCCCGAUCGCAGACCCCUGCUCCUUGCUGCGCUGAUCCUCAAUUCUGUCCUUGGGGAGCAAGGGCAGGCAGGGCGGGCCCCACGUGUGUGCAGCUCCCCCACCACACUCGCGGAGUUACUCCUGUCCACCUCCCCAUCCUCCCCUCGGUCCAGCCCCUCCAGGGGGCAGUCCCUGUGCUUGCACAGGAGCAGCCGUGGCCUUCCUUAAGAGCCCUCGUCAUUUUCCCAGGUUGAGGAGGGGGCCUGUGUUAGUCUGCUGGGGCUGCCAUAACAAAAUACCACAGGCUGGGGGCUUAAACAGCAGAAAUGUAUUUUCUCACAGUUCUGGAGGCUGGGGGGUCUAAGAUCAAGGUGUCAGGGGUGGUUUCUGGUGAGGGCUCUCUCCUUGGCUGCAGGUGGCACCUUCCUGCGGUGUCCUCACAUGGCCUCUUCUCUGUGCACACGGGCGGAGGGAGAGAGGGUGAGACGGAGAGAGAGAGAUCUGGUGUCUCUUCUUACAAGGACACCGGUCCUAUUGGAUUAGGUCCUCAUUUAGCCUUAAUUACCUCCUUAAAAGCCCUGUUUCCAAAUACAGUCACACUGGGGUUACAGCUUCAACCUAUGAAUUUGGGGGCACACAAUGCAGUCCAUACAGGUGGUCCCCACAAACAUGGAAAGCGAGAGGCAUGCCCUUCAGAAUCCCCACGCCCACAGGGAGAGGAGAGAGGAGCACAGAGGUUUGGGAAACAGAAGCAGAGUGCGGGAGAUACUGUGCUCGGGUGGCCCUCGGUGCCUUGGGGACACACGGAACGGGCUGGACCCAGUGCAGCAAGGAGGACCCCCCAGGAGAGGCGUGUCCUGGGAAGAGCCCGGGCACUGGAGCCCAAGGGUGCGCUCUCUGCUGACCAACCUCGGGCAAGUCACCUCACCUCUGUGCGUCCGAUUUCCACUCGGCAACGGGAGCCGUCUGCUCGCCUGGUGGGCGCAGGGAGGUUUCGAUGAACUCACCUGCAGACACAGUGCUUGACUCUUAGUAGGUGCUCAGUAGACGCCCCCAUCCAUCUGGGAGUUCAGAUUUAGAGCUUGUCUAUUCUGGGCGCUCUGGACUGUGAACUCAGCAUCUGCCAUCCGGAGGCCUUUCUGAUCAGCUCUUCGCCAGCCUAUUUUCUUAACAUCCCUCUCUAAUCAGUUUGUGGAAGUGGCUGAAUUUCGUGGCCCCCAUAGUAGCUCAGAGUGCUUCCUGGGGUAUUUAAAUUCUACCCCUGUCAUCAGAAUUGAGCACUUAUGGCGGGCCCUUCCCUGUGCUAGUCCUUUUGAGGGAAUGUAGGUGAAGGUCUGGCCAUGCCAAGUGGGAGACAACCAGCUCACGUGGAGAACUGGAGAAUGGGGAUAAAACAGUCCACUGAGGCACAGGCUCUGAGUGCCUGGGGGGUGGGAAUAAGAUCCCAGAGAGGGCUGCCGCAGCCUGGACAGGCUUCCCGGCAAGGCUGACCCAACCAGGGCCUUGAAGGAUGAGAAAGAUGUGGCUUAGCUGAGAGCUUCCAGGGGGAAGUUAGAGCAGAGAGCCCCGUAGUAAGUUCUAGGAGAUAUCACUGCUCUUUAAAAAAAAGCGAGUUACAUUCUGCAGAAUUCUGUAGUGCAGGACUUAUUAGAGCCUUUAAAAUGCUAAUGGGGAUCAUGAAUAUUCAAGGCCAGAGGAUGAUGUGUUCCCCCCCAGACUUUACUGGUAACAGAACCCUUUUCUUAUGGAGCAUCACUUAGAAGUGUGGGAGAUGCCAGGCUGGGAACACUCCAGCGGUGAU